RNAcentral lists this ribosomal RNA (440 nucleotides) under uncultured bacterium. Its description in RNAcentral is "bacterial SSU rRNA". It matches the Rfam family "Bacterial small subunit ribosomal RNA", at positions 338 to 794 of the family's 1533-position model. The record is from RNAcentral.
CCUACGGGAUGCAGCAGUGGGGAAUCUUGCGCAAUGGGCGAAAGCCUGACGCAGCGACGCCGCGUGGGUGACGAAGGCCUUCGGGUCGUAAAACCCUGUUGCAGGGAAGAAGAAGUGACGGUACCUGAGGAGGAAGCCCCGGCUAACUACGUGCCAGCAGCCGCGGUAAUACGUAGGGGGCAAGCGUUGUCCGGAAUCACUGGGCGUAAAGGGCGCGUAGGCGGUAUAUUAAGUCAGGUGUGAAAGUUUUCGGCUCAACCGGAAAAGUGCACUUGAAACUAAUAGACUUGAGUACUGGAGAGGUAAGCGGAAUUCCUAGUGUAGCGGUGAAAUGCGUAGAUAUUGGGAGGAACACCGGUGGCGAAGGCGACUUGCUGGGCAGUAACUGACGCUGAGGCGCGAAGGCCAGGGGAGCAAACGGGAUUAGAUACCCUUGUAGU